UGGGGAAUUUUUGGACAAUGGGCGCAAGCCUGAUCCAGCCAUGCCGCGUGUCUGAAGAAGGCCUUCGGGUUGUAAAGGACUUUUGUCAGGGAAGAAAAGGAUAGGGUUAAUACCCCUGUCUGAUGACGGUACCUGAAGAAUAAGCACCGGCUAACUACGUGCCAGCAGCCGCGGUAAUACGUAGGGUGCGAGCGUUAAUCGGAAUUACUGGGCGUAAAGCGGGCGCAGACGGUUACUUAAGCAGGAUGUGAAAUCCCCGGGCUCAACCUGGGAACUGCGUUCUGAACUGGGUGACUAGAGUGUGUCAGAGGGAGGUAGAAUUCCACGUGUAGCAGUGAAAUGCGUAGAGAUGUGGAGGAAUACCGAUGGCGAAGGCAGCCUCCUGGGAUAACACUGACGUUCAUGCCCGAAAGCGUGGGUAGCAAACAGGAUUAGAUACCCUGGUAGUCCACGCCCUAGACGAUGUCGAUUAGCUGUUGGGCAGCUUGACUGCUUAGUAGCGAAGCUAACGCGUGAAAUCGACCGCCUGGGGAGUACGGUCGCAAGAUUA
This 550-nucleotide ribosomal RNA is filed under the name uncultured bacterium. Its description in RNAcentral is "bacterial SSU rRNA". It matches the Rfam family "Bacterial small subunit ribosomal RNA", at positions 355 to 896 of the family's 1533-position model. The record is from RNAcentral.